This 440-nucleotide ribosomal RNA is filed under the name uncultured bacterium. Its description in RNAcentral is "partial 16S ribosomal RNA". It matches the Rfam family "Bacterial small subunit ribosomal RNA", at positions 338 to 795 of the family's 1533-position model. The record is from RNAcentral.
CCUACGGGAGGCAGCAGUGGGGAAUAUUGCACAAUGGGGGAAACCCUGAUGCAGCGACGCCGCGUGAGUGAAGAAGUAUUUCGGUAUGUAAAGCUCUAUCAGCAGGGAAGAAAAUGACGGUACCUGAUUAAGAAGCCCCGGCUAACUACGUGCCAGCAGCCGCGGUAAUACGUAGGGGGCAAGCGUUAUCCGGAUUUACUGGGUGUAAAGGGAGCGUAGACGGCAGCACAAGGCUUGAGUGAAAUGCCGGGGCUUAACCCCGGAACUGCUUUGGAAACUGUGCAGCUGGAGUGCAGGAGAGGUAAAUGGAAUUCCUAGUGUAGCGGUGAAAUGCGUAGAUAUUAGGAGGAACACCAGUGGCGAAGGCGGCUUACUGGACUGUAACUGACGUUGAGGCUCGAAAGCGUGGGGAGCAAACAGGAUUAGAUACCCUUGUAGUC